CAUUACUGAGUUUACGCUCUAUAACCCUUUGUGAACAUACCUAUAACUGUUGCUUCGGCGGGUAGGGUCUCCGUGACCCUCCCGGCCUCCCGCCCCCGGGCGGGUCGGCGCCCGCCGGAGGAUAACCAAACUCUGAUUUAACGACGUUUCUUCUGAGUGGUACAAGCAAAUAAUCAAAACUUUUAACAACGGAUCUCUUGGUUCUGGCAUCGAUGAAGAACGCAGCGAAAUGCGAUAAGUAAUGUGAAUUGCAGAAUUCAGUGAAUCAUCGAAUCUUUGAACGCACAUUGCGCCCGCCAGCAUUCUGGCGGGCAUGCCUGUUCGAGCGUCAUUUCAACCCUCAAGCUCUGCUUGGUGUUGGGGCCCUACAGCUGAUGUAGGCCCUCAAAGGUAGUGGCGGACCCUCCCGGAGCCUCCUUUGCGUAGUAACUUUACGUCUCGCACUGGGAUCCGGAGGGACUCUUGCCGUAAAACCCCCCAAUUUUCCAAAGGUUGACCUCGGAUCAGGUAGGAAUACCCGCUGAACUUAAAGCAUAUCAAUAAAANCG
RNAcentral lists this ribosomal RNA (548 nucleotides) under Colletotrichum gloeosporioides. Its description in RNAcentral is "eukaryotic LSU rRNA". The stretch from base 178 to 331 matches the Rfam family "5.8S ribosomal RNA". Lineage: Eukaryota; Fungi; Ascomycota; Sordariomycetes; Glomerellales; Glomerellaceae. The record is from RNAcentral.